This 1593-nucleotide long non-coding RNA is filed under the name Dicentrarchus labrax (European seabass). RNAcentral's name for it is "lncRNA (ENSDLAG00005034906.1)". Lineage: Eukaryota; Metazoa; Chordata; Actinopteri; Moronidae. The record is from RNAcentral.
AUGUGUAGGGGUUUCAUACCUUCAGGUGAGGGCUCAGGGGCAGGUGCUGGGGUGGACUCAACCACAGGAGCCUCUGCUGGGGCUGCAAUGUCCAUAGCAGGCUCUGAGAUGACGGCUGCUGCUGGAGCUUCAGGGGCUGCUUCUAAAGACACCGCUGGUGUAGAUGCUGGAACCACUGCCUCCUGGACCGGCUCAGCAGCAGCAGAUUCAGCCUCUGGUGCUGGAGUAGGGGGGCAUGGUGUCUCCACUGGUGCAGCAGUCUCAGCAGGGGCCGCUGGAGGCACCGUUGCCUCUUCAACAGCUUUGGCUGGAGAUAAUGGAGGCAUCUCUGGAAUAGUUGCUACAGCAAUCUCUGUAUCUAUUACAGGCUCUGCUGUCUCUGCAGGUGCUGAAGCCACAUCUGGUACUACACCUUCACCUGGUGAUGGUGCUGCAGCCUCACUUGGUGCUGGUACUGCAGCCACAGGCUCACUUGGAACUGGUGCUGCAGCCUCACUUGGUACUGGUGCUGCAGCCGCAGGCUCACUUGGUACUGGUGCUGCAGCCUCACUUGGUACCGGUGCUGCAGCCUCACUUGGUACCGGUGCUGCAGCCUCACUUGGUGUUGGUUCUGCAGCCUCACUUGGUGUUGGUUCUGGUGCUUCACUUGGGGCCUCACUUGGUGCUGGUGCUGGUGCUUCACCUGGUUCUGAGGAUUCACAUGGUGCUACUGAGGAAGUAACUGGUGCAGCAUUGUUAGUUGGAGCCUCUGCCUCCACAGGAGCAGCCACUUCCACAGGGGCCUCAGCCACUACAGCUGCUGCCUCUUCCACAACCACUGGGGCCUCUGCUGGCUCAGAUACAACAGGUUCAACAUCAGGGGUGGCAACUUCAGGAGAGGCCUCAACUGGCACAGCGGUCGUCUCCUCAACAACAGCAGGGGCCUCUGCCUGCACAGCCACAACAGAUUCAGCAGCAGGGGCUUCCUCUGUAGCCUCAACAAGGGCUUUGACCUCGGGGGCAGCCUCAGCCACUACAGUUUCUACAGGGGCAGCUUCCUCCACAGGGGGGAGUGCCUCCACCACAGCUACAGCAGCCUCAGGUUCAGUAAUGGCUUCAGUUGGAGCAGCAACCUCUGGAGCUGGUUCUGCAGGGGUGACAGGUUCUUGCUGUGGCUCAGGAGCAGCCAGGAGGUCCUCCCCAGAGCCAAGAUCCUCCUGGGCCUCCAAGGCUAUUAACACAGCCUCCGCCUCGUCAUCGGCACCCGGUUGAAGAUCGUCUGGUAAGGCAGUCUGCACAGGCAACUGCAUCUGGUCCUCGAUGGUUUGUGCAUCUUCUGCGAUGAUGCCGUUUUUGACUGCUGACAAUACACGGAUGACAAAAGAGAAGCUUGAUUAUGAUUUACUAUUUGCAUGUGGCACUUAUCAGUCUUCAUCAGUCCUUUCAGCUAAAGAGGCCCUGUAACGACAUGACAACGCUGAACAACAAAAAAAGCUUUCAAGAAGAUUCCUCAUUGUAUUAAGCUUGAAAAUUCUUGGGGGGUCCUUGAGCUAAUCUUUGAAUUGAAUGGUUUUGUUAAUAAAUGACCACAUUUGUCAUGAAAACAUUCUCAUC